Molecule: small RNA, 442 nt
Filed under: Photobacterium halotolerans
Lineage: Bacteria; Pseudomonadati; Pseudomonadota; Gammaproteobacteria; Vibrionales; Vibrionaceae
Description: cspA thermoregulator
Rfam family: cspA thermoregulator
Source: Rfam by way of RNAcentral
CUUGCUCUGUCGCUCAGAUUAAUUAAUGCAACUUCAAGUCAAAGUAAAACCUCAGAAUUUCUUCGUAACUGUCGUUAUCCUCAGUGUUUCCCUUAGCUUCAUUGUGACAUUCAAUAAUUUAGGCUCUCAGCGCAUCGCAUGAAUGCGGUAAAUAUUUUGAAUUCAUCUAAAUAAAAGGGACAAAUUAUGUCUAACAAAUCAACUGGUCUGGUUAAGUGGUUUAACGAAGAGAAAGGUUUCGGUUUCAUUACUCAAGACAACGGCGGUGCUGACGUAUUCGUUCACUUCCGUGCAAUCGCUUCAGAAGGCUUCAAAACUCUGGCUGAAGGUCAGAAAGUGUCUUUUGACGUUGAGCAAGGUCAGAAAGGCCCACAGGCUGCUAACGUAGUAGCACUGUAAUUUUUUUCAUUGGCGUAAAGGGCACCAUGCCUUUUACGCCAAU